This 331-nucleotide unclassified non-coding RNA is filed under the name soil metagenome. RNAcentral describes it as "partial contains 5.8S ribosomal RNA, internal transcribed spacer 2, and large subunit ribosomal RNA". The stretch from base 1 to 120 matches the Rfam family "5.8S ribosomal RNA", at positions 35 to 154 of the family's 154-position model. The record is from RNAcentral.
GAUGAAGAACGUAGCGAAAUGCGAUAAGUAAUGUGAAUUGCAGAAUUCAGUGAAUUAUCGAAUCUUUGAACGCACAUUGCGCCCCCUGGUAUUCCGGGGGGCAUGCCUGUUCGAGCGUCAUUUCACCACUCAAGCCUCGCUUGGUAUUGGGCAACGCGGUCCGCCGCGUGCCUCAAAUCGACCGGCUGGGUCUUCUGUCCCCUAAGCGUUGUGGAAACUAUUCGCUAAAGGGUGUUCGGGAGGCUACGCCGUAAAACAACCCCAUUUCUAAGGUUGACCUCGGAUCAGGUAGGGAUACCCGCUGAACUUAAGCAUAUCAAUAAGCGGAGGA